AGAAUCAACGCUGGCGGCGUGCCUAACACAUGCAAGUCGAACGCGAAAGCCCCGAAAGGGGUAAGUAGAGUGGCAAACGGGUGAGUAACACGUGGGUGACCUGCCUUCGAGCGGGGGAUAACGUCCCGAAAGGGACGCUAAUACCGCAUAACAUCCUGCCUUUGAAGAGGUGGAGAUCAAAGCUGGGGAUCGCAAGACCCGGCACUUGAAGAGGGGCCCGCGUCUGAUUAGCUAGUGGUGGGGUAAUGGCCUACCAAGGCAAACGAUCAGUA
Molecule: ribosomal RNA, 272 nt
Filed under: uncultured soil bacterium
Lineage: Bacteria
Description: partial 16S ribosomal RNA
Rfam family: Bacterial small subunit ribosomal RNA
Source: RNAcentral